GAUCAUGGCUCAGAAUGAACGCUGGCGGCGCGCCUAAUACAUGCAAGUCGAGCGAGAAGACGUAGCAAUACGUUUGUAAAGCGGCGAACGGGUGAGGAAUACAUGGGUAACCUACCCUCGAGUGGGGAAUAACUAGCCGAAAGGUUAGCUAAUACCGCGUACGCUCCUUGGACUUCGGUUCAGGGAGGAAAGCGAUACCGUGGGUAUCGCGCUCUUGGAUGGGCUCAUGUCCUAUCAGCUUGUUGGUGAGGUAACGGCUCACCAAGGCUUCGACGGGUAGCUGGUCUGAGAGGACGAUCAGCCACACUGGCACUGCGACACGGGCCAGACUCCUACGGGAGGCAGCAGUAAGGAAUAUUGCGCAAUGGGCGAAAGCCUGACGCAGCGACGCCGCGUGGGGGAUGAAGGUCUUCGGAUUGUAAACCCCUUUCGGGAGGGAAGAUGGAAUGGGGUAACCCAUUCGGACGGUACCUCCAGAAGCAGCCACGGCUAACUUCGUGCCAGCAGCCGCGGUAAUACGAAGGUGGCAAGCGUUAUUCGGAUUUACUGGGCGUACAGGGAGCGUAGGCGGUUCGGUAAGCCCUUUGUGAAAUCUUCAGGCUUAACCUGGAAAAGUCGGAGGGGACUGCCGGGCUAGAGGACGGGAGAGGAGCGCGGAAUUCCCGGUGUAGCGGUGAAAUGCGUAGAGAUCGGGAAGAAGGCC
Molecule: ribosomal RNA, 703 nt
Filed under: uncultured Nitrospira sp.
Lineage: Bacteria; Pseudomonadati; Nitrospirota; Nitrospiria; Nitrospirales; Nitrospiraceae
Description: bacterial SSU rRNA
Rfam family: Bacterial small subunit ribosomal RNA
Source: RNAcentral